Molecule: unclassified non-coding RNA, 242 nt
Filed under: Hevea brasiliensis (rubber tree)
Lineage: Eukaryota; Viridiplantae; Streptophyta; Magnoliopsida; Malpighiales; Euphorbiaceae
Source: RNAcentral
CACGAUUUGUGACAUAUCCAUGGAUGGAAGUAGAGAGCUUGUCCAAGGGGUUUCUCAAGAGCUUCUUGAGACUGCACUUCCCAGACGUGGGGGGCCUGUUCUUGUUCUUUAUGGUAAGCACAAGGGAGUUUAUGGGAGUUUAGUCGAGAGGGAUCUUGACAAAGAGACAGGGGUAGUACGGGAUGCAGAUAGCCAUGAAUUACUUAAUGUGCGUUUAGAACAGAUUGCUGAAUACAUUGGUG